Molecule: ribosomal RNA, 379 nt
Filed under: uncultured eukaryote
Lineage: Eukaryota
Description: partial 18S ribosomal RNA
Rfam family: Eukaryotic small subunit ribosomal RNA
Source: RNAcentral
CAAUAGCGUAUAUUAAAGUUGUUGCGGUUAAAAAGCUCGUAGUUGGAUUUCUGCCGAGGACGACCGGUCCGCCCUCCGGGUGAGCAUCUGGCUCGGCCUAGGCAUCUUCUUGGGGAGCGUAUCUGCACUUCAUUGUGUGGUGCGGUAUCCAAGACUUUUACUUUGAGGAAAUUAGAGUGUUUCAAGCAGGCCCACGCCUUGAAUACAUUAGCAUGGAAUAAUAAGGUAGGACCUCGGUUCUAUUUUGUUGGUUUCUAGAAUUGAGGUAAUGAUUAAUAGGGAUAGUUGGGGGCAUUCGUAUUUAACUGUCAGAGGUGAAAUUCUUGGAUUUGUUAAAGACGGACUACUGCGAANGNAUUUGCNAAGGAUGUUUNCAUUG